RNAcentral lists this long non-coding RNA (381 nucleotides) under Phoenix dactylifera (date palm). RNAcentral describes it as "long non-coding RNA (PDAC_LNC012719)". Lineage: Eukaryota; Viridiplantae; Streptophyta; Magnoliopsida; Arecales; Arecaceae. The record is from RNAcentral.
GUGGCAUGGUGAUUGGUUCUUUUGAUUUUGACUCUUUCAUUUGGCAUUAUCCUCUUGGUUGAGAUGAUUGCUGAUGUGGUGUUGAGGUGGCGUCUGGUUGAGAUGAUUGCUGAUGUGGUGUUGAGGUGGCGUCCCAAUAGGUGUCACAUAGCAUGUUGCAUAGUGAUUGGUUCUUCUGAUGAGGUGGCAUGACGUUGCAUUGGUUCCUUUAGUUGAGAUGAUGUGGUCGACUCCUUAUGCUUGACUUCAUCCUGGUUGGCGUGCUUCCAUUGGUUGGAGUGGCGGUGAGGUGGCCAGCUGAUGUUGAUGUGGAUGCCAAGGUGGUGCUCCAAGGGUGUGCAAAGGUGGUGGUAGAAACAUGCAAGGUGGCAGUAGAAACAU